Molecule: ribosomal RNA, 469 nt
Filed under: uncultured bacterium
Lineage: Bacteria
Description: partial 16S ribosomal RNA
Rfam family: Bacterial small subunit ribosomal RNA
Source: RNAcentral
GACGAACGCUGGCGGCGUGCUUAACACAUGCAAGUCGAACGGAAAGGCCCUGCUUGCAGGGUGCCCGAGUGGCGAACGGGUGAGUAACACGUGGGUGAUCUGCCCCUUACUUUGGGAUAAGCCUGGGAAACUGGGUCUAAUACUGGAUAGGACCAUGCUGUAGGUGGUGUGGUGGAAAGAUUAGUUUCGGUAAGGGAUGAGCUCGCGGCCUAUCAGCUUGUUGGUGGGGUAAUGGCCUACCAAGGCGUCGACGGGUAGCCGGCCUGAGAGGGUGGACGGCCACAUUGGGACUGAGAUACGGCCCAGACUCCUACGGGAGGCAGCAGUGGGGAAUAUUGCACAAUGGGCGCAAGCCUGAUGCAGCGACGCCGCGUGGGGGAUGACGGCCUUCGGGUUGUAAACUCCUUUCAGCCAUGACGAAGCCCUUGUGGUGACGGUAGUGGUAGAAGAAGCACCGGCUAACUACGUG